This 515-nucleotide ribosomal RNA is filed under the name uncultured bacterium. Its description in RNAcentral is "partial 16S ribosomal RNA". It matches the Rfam family "Bacterial small subunit ribosomal RNA", at positions 28 to 523 of the family's 1533-position model. The record is from RNAcentral.
GAUGAACGCUGGCGGCGUGCCUAAUACAUGCAAGUCGAGCGAGUGGAUUAAGAGCUUGCUCUUAUGAAGUUAGCGGCGGACGGGUGAGUAACACGUGGGUAACCUGCCCAUAAGACUGGGAUAACUCCGGGAAACCGGGGCUAAUACCGGAUAACAUUUUGAACCGCAUGGUUCGAAAUUGAAAGGCGGCUUCGGCUGUCACUUAUGGAUGGACCCGCGUCGCAUUAGCUAGUUGGUGAGGUAACGGCUCACCAAGGCAACGAUGCGUAGCCGACCUGAGAGGGUGAUCGGCCACACUAGGACUGAGACACGGCCCAGACUCCUACGGGAGGCAGCAGUAGGGAAUCUUCCGCAAUGGACUAAAGUCUGACGGAGCAACGCCGCGUGAGUGAGGAAGGCUUCCGGGUCGUAAAACUCUGUUGUUAGGGAAGAACAAGUGCUAGUUGAAUAAGCUGGCACCUUGACGGUACCUAACCAGAAAGCCACGGCUAACUACGUGCCAGCCGCCGCGGUAA